AUAGUACUCUCUCCGUCCGGAAAUACUUGUCGCACAAAUAGAUAAAAAUGAAUGCAUCUAAAACUAAAAUAUGAAUAGAUACAUCCAUUCCUUGGACAAGUAUUUCCGGACGGACGGAGUAUGCG
This is a non-coding RNA of Triticum aestivum (bread wheat), 125 nucleotides long. Lineage: Eukaryota; Viridiplantae; Streptophyta; Magnoliopsida; Poales; Poaceae. The record is from Rfam.